RNAcentral lists this non-coding RNA (84 nucleotides) under uncultured Merdibacter sp. RNAcentral describes it as "Purine riboswitch". The stretch from base 8 to 80 matches the Rfam family "Purine riboswitch aptamer", at positions 18 to 90 of the family's 102-position model. From Rfam's summary of the family: Riboswitches are metabolite binding domains within certain messenger RNAs that serve as precision sensors for their corresponding targets. Lineage: Bacteria; Bacillati; Bacillota; Erysipelotrichia; Erysipelotrichales; Erysipelotrichaceae. The record is from RNAcentral.
ACAGUUAUGCUUGUAUAUCUGCCGAGAUAUGGUCGGCAAGUUUCUACCCCGCUGCCGUAAAUAGUGGGACUACAAGGAAACGUA